UACGGAGGGUGCAAGCGUUAUCCGGAUUUACUGGGCUUAAAGGGUGCGUAGGUGGAUUAGUAAGUCAGUGGUGAAAUCUCCGGGCUUAACCCGGAAACUGCCAUUGAUACUAUUAGUCUUGAAUAUCCUGAAGGUGAGCGGAAUAUGUCAUGUAGCGGUGAAAUGCUUAGAUAUGACAUAGAACAUCAAUUGCGAAGGCAGCUCACUGCGGGAUUAUUGACACUGAGGCACGAAAGCGUGGGGAUCAAACAGG
Molecule: ribosomal RNA, 253 nt
Filed under: uncultured bacterium
Lineage: Bacteria
Description: partial 16S ribosomal RNA
Rfam family: Bacterial small subunit ribosomal RNA
Source: RNAcentral